Molecule: ribosomal RNA, 465 nt
Filed under: uncultured bacterium
Lineage: Bacteria
Description: partial 16S ribosomal RNA
Rfam family: Bacterial small subunit ribosomal RNA
Source: RNAcentral
GACGAACGCUGGCGGCGUGCUUAACACAUGCAAGUCGAACGGAAAGGCCCCAGCUUGCCGGGGUUCUCGAUUGGCGAACGGGUGAGUAACACGCGGGUGAUCUGCCCUGCACUGUGUGAUAUGCCUGGGAAACUGGGUCUAAUACCGGAUAGGACAGUGCUUACGUGUGUGCGGUGGAAAGAUUUUCGGUAUAGGCUUAGCUGGCGGCCUAUCAGUCUGUUGGUGGGGUAAUGGCCGACGAAGGCGGAGACGGGUAGCCGACCUGGGAGGGGGGACGGGCACAUGGGGACUGAGGGACGGAGCAGACGCGUAUGGGAGGCAGCAGGGGGAAGUAUGGCGGAAUGGGCGCGAGUGUGAGGCAGCGACGCCGGGUGGGGGAUGACGGCUUUCGGGUUGUAAACCACUGUCGGCGGGGACGAAGCUUUUGUGACGGUACCUGCAUAAGAAGCACCGGCUAACUACGUG